This 141-nucleotide ribosomal RNA is filed under the name uncultured Desulfovibrio sp. RNAcentral describes it as "partial 16S ribosomal RNA". It matches the Rfam family "Bacterial small subunit ribosomal RNA", at positions 395 to 525 of the family's 1533-position model. Lineage: Bacteria; Pseudomonadati; Thermodesulfobacteriota; Desulfovibrionia; Desulfovibrionales; Desulfovibrionaceae. The record is from RNAcentral.
GGCCAUGCGGAGGAUGGAAGGAUUUUCGGAUCUUAAACUCCUGUCAAGAGGGAAGAAACCUAUUAAGAAUAACACUCUUAGUAAUUGACGGUACCUCUAGAGGAAGCACCGGCUAAUUCAGUGCCAGCAGCCGCGGUAAUA